RNAcentral lists this ribosomal RNA (465 nucleotides) under uncultured bacterium. Its description in RNAcentral is "partial 16S ribosomal RNA". It matches the Rfam family "Bacterial small subunit ribosomal RNA", at positions 28 to 507 of the family's 1533-position model. The record is from RNAcentral.
GAUGAACGCUGGCGGCGUGCUUAACACAUGCAAGUCGAACGGAAAGGCCCAAGCUUGCUUGGGUACUCGAGUGGCGAACGGGUGAGUAACACGUGGGUGAUCUGCCCUGCACUUCGGGAUAAGCCUGGGAAACUGGGUCUAAUACCGGAUAGGACCACAUUUUGGAUGGUGUGGUGGAAAGUUUUUCGGUGUGGGAUGAGCUCGCGGCCUAUCAGCUUGUUGGUGGGGUAAUGGCCUACCAAGGCGUCGACGGGUAGCCGGCCUGAGAGGGUGUACGGCCACAUUGGGACUGAGAUACGGCCCAGACUCCUACGGGAGGCAGAAGUGGGGAAUAUUGAACAAUGGGCGCAAGCCUGAUGCAGCGACGCCGCGUGGGGGAUGACGGCCUUCGGGUUGUAAACUCCUUUCGCUAGGGACGAAGCGCAAGUGACGGUACCUGGAGAAGAAGCACCGGCUAACUACGUG